CGUGUGUGUGUGUGUGUCAAUUCAAUGUAAUUCAGUGUGUUAGAUAAAGAGACGCUUACAAUGGAUCUUUGGUAAGUUCCUUUUGGUAGGCAAUCGGCGACUGUAUCGCCUUGAGAAAGUCACGUUGGGUUUGCAGGAUGGCAGUGAUCG
Long non-coding RNA from Frieseomelitta varia, 150 nucleotides. RefSeq lists it as uncharacterized. The record is from RefSeq and is a predicted model, not a curated record. The transcript has 3 exons. Lineage: Eukaryota; Metazoa; Arthropoda; Insecta; Hymenoptera; Apidae.